This is a non-coding RNA of Pelobates cultripes (western spadefoot toad), 215 nucleotides long. NCBI's taxonomy places the organism in Eukaryota, Metazoa, Chordata, Amphibia, Anura, Pelobatidae. The record is from the annotation of a GenBank genome assembly.
UCCAAAUCCACGAACUGACAAUAGUAACCGAACGCCAAUAUCUUCCAAGCGGCAAAUAAUCCAAACAAGCAGUCUCUAGUCACCGGUAAUAAAAUCCCCCCAAUAACGAGACCAAGCUCCGCUUUGAGGUAAAACACGAACUGAUUUACUGUGGGCUACCUGCCCGGUAUUUAUGCAGGUCUCCCACUUGGUGGACACUCCUCUAGGGGACCAAA